This 220-nucleotide ribosomal RNA is filed under the name uncultured Glomus. Its description in RNAcentral is "partial small subunit ribosomal RNA". It matches the Rfam family "Eukaryotic small subunit ribosomal RNA", at positions 591 to 817 of the family's 1831-position model. The record is from RNAcentral. Lineage: Eukaryota; Fungi; Glomeromycota; Glomeromycetes; Glomerales; Glomeraceae.
CCAAUAGCGUAUAUUAAAGUUGUUGCAGUUAAAAAGCUCGUAGUUGAAUUUCGAGAUCAAAUUGUUGGUCGUGCCUCGGUACGUACUGGUAAUUUUGGUUUCUCCCUUCUGAAGAACCAUGAUGUCAUUAAUUUGGUGUCUUGGGGAAUCAGGACUGUUACUUUGAAAAAAUUAGAGUGUUUAAAGCAGGCUCGCGCUUGAAUACAUUAGCAUGGAAUAA